Scylla paramamosain (green mud crab) is the source of this 951-nucleotide long non-coding RNA. RefSeq lists it as uncharacterized. The transcript has 5 exons. NCBI's taxonomy places the organism in Eukaryota, Metazoa, Arthropoda, Malacostraca, Decapoda, Portunidae. The record is from RefSeq and is a predicted model, not a curated record.
AAGAAGGCGAGUCACGUCAUCAGUCACAUUCAGGGCGCCAUUCAUCAGUUCUUCAGUCUCCUUGCUGCUGAGUGUGCUAUCAACGCGCAGUCUAUGGCAUUUCGCCAUUACUGUUGUGUGCGGAAGGGGAAAAGAAAAAAAAAAAUUAAAGCUGCAGCCAUUCACCCAAAAUGUCAUGAGUUUUGAAACUUUUCAGAAGAGAGGAUGAGAUUGCAAAAAAAGGACAACAAAGAUGCAAAUUCCUCCUGCAUAGAGUGGUGACAGAUCCAUGGCAUCAGGGACACAAGCUGCAAGGAUUGUAUUAUAUGCUGCAGUCAACAGUUGGUGUCCCAACUCGAGGCAGCAGCAGAUCAAGCACUGUAGCUGUAUCCCACUUCAGCACUUCAGGCUGAGGGAAGUCCAGAGUGAUGCCAAAAGCACCACUAGUGGGUCAAAAAAGUGGGCAGAAUGCUGCACUGCUGUCAUUACUGGAUUUCAUCAAAGAUGUUGAAGGACUCAAUCACAUUCUCAUUCUGCAAGGGAAGAGCCUUGUACCUCGUAUCACAGUCUCCACCACUCAUCCACAUACCUUUGAGCAGUACUCCAUGAACUCAUCCAUAGUAACCACACCAUCCUUGUUGAGAUCAAGCUUCUGCAGGAAAGGAAAUAAUUUUGAUCCGUUCCACAUGGUCCACUGGAGUGCCGUCAUCAAUGGCUGGGCUCGUCUGUUCUCCCAUCAGGUCAUAAAUCGACGUGACAAUAUCAACUAACUCUUCCUUUGUGAUGUACCCGUCAUUGUUGAUGUCAUACAAGCUGAAGGGUGAAGAGAGGCAGUCAACCAAGUGUACAGUCAUAUAUUAUGGAAACUUUCUAAGCAGACAUACUUGUCACACUACAUUGGUGAAGUCAUGCUGGAUUUAAAGAUUAUUUUUUUUAAUUUGAAAUUUAACUAAAUACAUAGUACAUUUUUUC